RNAcentral lists this ribosomal RNA (1292 nucleotides) under Leptotyphlops conjunctus. RNAcentral describes it as "partial 16S ribosomal RNA". It matches the Rfam family "Bacterial large subunit ribosomal RNA", at positions 370 to 2594 of the family's 2925-position model. The record is from RNAcentral. Lineage: Eukaryota; Metazoa; Chordata; Lepidosauria; Squamata; Leptotyphlopidae.
GCCCCGGUUCUAGUCCUUUUUCUCUUCCUUUUCCUUUUCCAACCAAAACAUUUGAUACGGCCAGUAAAGGAGAUUAAAAACCGCACGAGCACGAUAGAAACAGUACCGCAAGGGAAAGAAGCCAAGCAACAAAAAGCAAAGAUAAAACCUUGUACCUUUCGCAUCAUGGUUUAGCAAGACAAAAAUGAGCGAGGGGCCCCCAGCUCAGACCCCCGAAACCAAGUGAGCUACCCCCCGACAGGAAACACGCCCGUCUCUGUAGCAAAAGAGUGGGGAGAUCGGAGGGUAGCGGUGAAAAGCCUAUCGAACUUGGCAAUAGCUGGUUGCCCGAAAUUGAACCUAAGUUCUACCUUGAGUCUAACACCACUAAGCCGGAGAAUCAAGGAGACUCAUUAGGGGUACAGCCCUAAUGAGAGGGGACACAGCCCCAGCCUGAGAGUAAGCCGUAUAGUUACUUCCUGUGGGCUUUAAAGCGGCCACCAAUAAAAAUAGCGUCAAAGCAACCAACUACUAAUUCACAACAUACCCACCACCUCCAGCAAGAAUCAAGGCAACUCUACACCUGUAGAAAAACCAAUGCUAAAACUACUAAUAAGGUAUAACCCUCUAAGCACACCCAUCAGUUGAAAUGGACCACCCACCAACAAUUAUCAAACUCAAGCUAAUCCAUAUUCGCGAACCUUUCACUAGUUGUGACACCAACACCGGGGUGCCUAAAAGAAAGAUAAAAAGCCACAGAAGGAACUCGGCAAGCACGGACUCCAACUGUUUACCAAAAACAUAACCUUUAGCUAACCAAGUAUUAAAGGCAUCGCCUGCCCAGUGAGAAAGUCUUCUUUAACGGCCGCGGUACCCUAACCGUGCGAAGGUAGCAUAAUCACUUGCCUAUUAAUCAUAGGCUGGCAUGAAAGGCUGCAUGAGAGUCAAACUGUCUCCUGUGGCCCAUCAAUGAAACUGAUCUUGCAGUCCAAAAGCUGUAAUAUUAACAUAAGACGAGAAGACCCUGUGAAACUUUCAACGACCUUUUCCCCAAGGAAAAAGUACUUUUAGUUGGGGCAACUUUGGAAAAAACCCAACUUCCAAACUCCUGAACACCCACCACCACACAGGCCAACAAGCCUCAACCAUACGACCCAGUAUACCUGAUAAAUGAACCAAGCUACUCCAGGGAUAACAGCGCUAUCUUCUUCAAGAGCCCAUAUCAAAAAGAAGGUUUACGACCUCGAUGUUGGAUCAGGGCACCCCAGUGGCGCAGCCACUACUAAAGGUUCGUUUGUUCAACGAUUAAUAGC